GGAAAGGACAGGUGCAGCAGUCAUGUUCUCCGCCAGAGAACGAGGUGGUGGGCUGUGGAAGUGCAGCCAGCAGCGGAUGCGGUGAAAUGUCGGAUAAGGCAUGCUCGUAUGCGUCGAUGUUUCUGACGAAGUUGGCUCUGGCCAGGCACAGUACUGACAACGUGAGCGUGGUCGUGGUGGAUCUAAGGAAAGGCACGUAGCCAUGAACUUUUUUAAUUUUUAUUUUUCUUAAAAUGCUUGGUUAGAGGUGGGGAGGGGGAGGGGGGAAUUUUUCGGAUGAUGAGAAGGGUUUUGGAGAUGAAUGCAAAUAGUGUAACGAAAUGGGGGAUGGAAAUGAAAUUUGGAGUGAACCAAAAAGGGUGUAAAAAAAAAGGUCGCCGUUGUAUUUGUCCGCCUUGAAGUGAAAUCAGCUUUGGCGCUAUAUAGUAAAAAAGUAAGUGGAUAUAAUUUUCUUUUGUUUAAUUUUAUUACUCUGUUAAUUUUCUUUGUGGAGAUUUUUCAGGCAAUUUGUAUGAUAAAUUAUUCGGUAAUUUGCACCUGG
Molecule: unclassified non-coding RNA, 541 nt
Filed under: Hevea brasiliensis (rubber tree)
Lineage: Eukaryota; Viridiplantae; Streptophyta; Magnoliopsida; Malpighiales; Euphorbiaceae
Source: RNAcentral